This 727-nucleotide ribosomal RNA is filed under the name Lobothallia sp. RNAcentral's name for it is "SSU rRNA". It matches the Rfam family "Bacterial small subunit ribosomal RNA", at positions 394 to 1174 of the family's 1533-position model. Lineage: Eukaryota; Fungi; Ascomycota; Lecanoromycetes; Pertusariales; Megasporaceae. The record is from RNAcentral.
AUGCCUCUAGUUAAAUGCGGCAUCGACUAUGUCGAAGAAAUCGCAUGUAUAGUUAUGAGUAUGAGUUUUCUACGUAUGUGUCUUGACCAAAUCACGUGCCAGCUGUCGCGGAAAUACGUGGAAGACUAGUGUUAUUCAUCUUUAAUAGGUUUAAAGGGUACUUAGACGGUAAAUUAAGCCCAGAUAAAAAUAAAGGGUACUAAUUAUACUAGAGUUUAAAUGAGAGGGGGGGUGUAGUAGUGGUGUAGAGAUGAAAUUCUGUCAUACCAAGAUGACAGGCAACGGCGCAAGCAACCUUUUAUGUGUAGACUGACGUUAAAGGACGAAGGCUUUGUAUCACCAACAGGAUUAGGUACCCAAGCAGUCUUAGCAGACAAUUCUGAAUGCCAUAGAUAAGAAAAGAUUCUUUUCUCUCUAUCUCUAUUAAUAAAAAGAGAUAGAUGUUAUUUUGUCUAUAAAUGAAAGUGUAAGCAUUCCACCUCAAGAGUAAUGUGGCAACGCAUAAACUGAAAUCAUUAGACCGUUUCUGAAACCAGUAGUGAAGUAUGUUGUUUAAUUUGAUGGUCCGCACAAAACCUCACCACAAUUUGUAUAUUAUUAUCUUAAUACAGGAGUUGCACGGCUGUCUUCAGUUAAUGUCGUGAGAUUUUGGUUAGUUCCAUUAAAUUAACGUAAACCCUUACUUUAUUUAUGUUAUAAAGUAGUUCGCCGCUAUAUUGGAUAUGAU